Molecule: long non-coding RNA, 391 nt
Organism: Choloepus didactylus (southern two-toed sloth)
Lineage: Eukaryota; Metazoa; Chordata; Mammalia; Pilosa; Megalonychidae
Exons: 2
Source: RefSeq, a predicted model, not a curated record
CUUUCGUCUGUGGAUGGACACUUGGAUUGCUCUCAGCUUUUGGUUCUUGUGAAUUUGUUAUGAACAAUGGUGUGCAAAUAUCUGUUCGAGUACCUGCUUUCAAUUCUUUGAGAAGGGAGGACACAAGGACACCCAUCAAACACCGUUUCUGUUCAACAUCGUCCUGGAGAUCUUCGCCAGCACAACAAUGCGAUACAGCAGUCACGGAUAUCAGACUAGCGUAUCGGCUGCCAUUUUUCAUGGACAAUCUGAAUGUGCCUCUAAAACAUCCAAGACUCUGUUGACAAAUAAUAAAAUUGAUCGGUCAAUUUAAUAAACUUACUGGAUUGCUACUAUACAAAAUAAAUGAUAAGCAGAAACAAACAAAAAUAAAAUUUAAUUUUUAAAAUGA